This 301-nucleotide ribosomal RNA is filed under the name uncultured bacterium. RNAcentral's name for it is "partial 16S ribosomal RNA". It matches the Rfam family "Bacterial small subunit ribosomal RNA", at positions 509 to 807 of the family's 1533-position model. The record is from RNAcentral.
CAGCCGCCACGGUAAUACGGAGGGGGCUAGCGUUGUUCGGAAUUACUGGGCGUAAAGCGCACGUAGGCGGCUUGGUAAGUUAGAGGUGAAAGCCCGGAGCUCAACUCCGGAAUUGCCUUUAAGACUGCCGAGCUAGUAGGUGAGAGAGGUAAGUGGAAUUCCGAGUGUAGAGGUGAAAUUCGUAGAUAUUCGGAAGAACACCAGUGGCGAAGGCGGCUUACUGGCUCAUUCUAGACGCCGAGGUGCGAAAGCGUGGGGAGCAAACAGGAUUAGAGACCCCUGUAGUCACUGUCUCUUAUAC